ACUCCUACGGGAGGCAGCAGUGGGGAAUUUUGGACAAUGGGGGAAACCCUGAUCCAGCCAUCCCCCGUGUGCGAUGAAGGCCUUCGGGUUGUAAAGCACUUUUGGCAGGAAAGAAACGUCAUGGGUUAAUACCCCGUGAAACUGACGGUACCCGCAGAAUAAGCACCGGCUAACUACGUGCCAGCAGCCGCGGUAAUACA
This 200-nucleotide ribosomal RNA is filed under the name uncultured bacterium. RNAcentral's name for it is "partial 16S ribosomal RNA". It matches the Rfam family "Bacterial small subunit ribosomal RNA", at positions 335 to 527 of the family's 1533-position model. The record is from RNAcentral.